RNAcentral lists this ribosomal RNA (332 nucleotides) under uncultured eukaryote. Its description in RNAcentral is "partial 18S ribosomal RNA". It matches the Rfam family "Eukaryotic small subunit ribosomal RNA", at positions 1470 to 1796 of the family's 1831-position model. The record is from RNAcentral.
CCCUUAGAUGUUCUGGGCUGCACACGUGCUACACUGGCAGGUUCAGCGAGCUUCAUGCCCUGAUCUGAAAGGAAUGGGAAAUCUUUUCAAAACCUGCCGUGCUUGGGAUAGAUGUUUGCAAUUAUUCAUCUUCAACGAGGAUUGCCUUGUAAGCGCACGUCAUCAGCGUGCAUUGAAUACGACCCUGUAUUCUGUACACACCGCCCGUCGCUCCUACCGAUUGAAGUUUUCGGUGAGUUGACAGGAGGAUUUUUUUGAAACUGGUUCGCCAGUGUAUUUUAGAUCCAAAUGCCAACGAAUCGAUGGCUUUAGAGGAAGGAGAAGUCGUAACA